This 373-nucleotide long non-coding RNA is filed under the name Homarus americanus (American lobster). Its description in RNAcentral is "uncharacterized LOC121861025, transcript variant X2". The record is from RNAcentral. Lineage: Eukaryota; Metazoa; Arthropoda; Malacostraca; Decapoda; Nephropidae.
ACGUCAUAUCCAGCAAAAAGAGAUGCUAGUGGAUGUGAAAAGCGACUUGCUUAUCUUACAGAACAGAUCUCCACGACUACAUAAUUAUUUAGAGGCGAAUAUCAUGAUGUUACAACAAACCUUUGGGGAAUUGAGCUGCUUCAUAACAGAUGAAAAUGAUAACUGGAGUAUGAAACGAGCUCCCACCGGCACUAUCACCAACACUACCAUCACCAUGGCACUAUCACCACUGCCACCACCACAGCACCAACACAUAUGGCAAGCGGAGUUAACGAGUAAAUCCUGAGAAAUUUACAACUGGAUCAUGGAGACACUGCUGUUACAGUCCAGGGCAGCAAGCACAGAGCAGAGCAGUCCAGGGGAGCAGCACACA